This 21-nucleotide non-coding RNA is filed under the name Arabidopsis thaliana (thale cress). The record is from RNAcentral. Lineage: Eukaryota; Viridiplantae; Streptophyta; Magnoliopsida; Brassicales; Brassicaceae.
UAUUUGUGCCGCCAAGUUGAU